AUUGAACGCUGGCGGCAUGCCUUACACAUGCAAGUCGAACGGCAGCGGGGGAGAAGCUUGCUUUUCCUGCCGGCGAGUGGCGAACGGGUGAGUAAUACAUCGGAACGUGCCCUGUAGUGGGGGAUAACUAGUCGAAAGAUUAGCUAAUACCGCAUACGACCUGAGGGUGAAAGUGGGGGACCGCAAGGCCUCAUGCUAUAGGAGCGGCCGAUGUCUGAUUAGCUAGUUGGUGGGGUAAAGGCCUACCAAGGCGACGAUCAGUAGCUGGUCUGGGAGGAGGAUCAGCCAUACUGGGACUGAGACACGGCCCAGACUCCUACGGGAGGCAGCAGUGGGGAAUUUUGGACAAUGGGCGAAAGCCUGAUCCAGCAAUGCCGCGUGUGUGAAGAAGGCCUUCGGGUUGUAAAGCACUUUUGUCCGGAAAGAAAUGGCUCUGGUUAAUACCUGGGGUCGAUGACGGUACCGGAAGAAUAAGGACCGGCUAACUACGUGCCAGCAGCCGCGGUAA
Molecule: ribosomal RNA, 508 nt
Filed under: uncultured bacterium
Lineage: Bacteria
Description: partial 16S ribosomal RNA
Rfam family: Bacterial small subunit ribosomal RNA
Source: RNAcentral